UCCGAGUUGUAAUUUGUAGAGGAUGUUUCGGGUACCGCCUCGGUUUAAAUUUCUUGGAACAGAAUGUCAAAGAGGGUGAGAAUCCCGUCUUGGACCGGCGGUAGGGCCUAUGUGAAACUCCUUCGACGAGUCGAGUUGUUUGGGAAUGCAGCUCAAAAUGGGUGGUAAAUUUCAUCUAAAGCUAAAUAUUGGCCAGAGACCGAUAGCGCACAAGUAGAGUGAUCGAAAGAUGAAAAGCACUUUGAAAAGAGAGUUAAACAGUAUGUGAAAUUGUUGAAAGGGAAGCGCUUGCAACCAGACUUGAGCGCGGCGGUUCCCCCUUGCUUCUGCUUGGGUUACUCCGCCGUGUCCAGGCCAACAUCGGUUCUGGGGGUCGGUCAAAGGCUCUGGGAAUGUAUCUACCCACGGGUAGACUUAUAGACCAGGGUGUCAUGCGACCUCCCGGGACCGAGGAACGCGCUUCGGCUCGGAUGUUGGCGUAAUGGUUGUCAGCGACCCGUCUUGAAACACGGACCAAGGAGUCUAACAUCUAUGCGAGUGUUUGGGUGUCAAACCCGGAACGCGGAAUGAAAGUGAACGGAGGUAGGAAGCUUCGGCUGCACUAUCGACCGAUCCUGAAGUUUACGGAUGGAUUUGAGUAAGAGCAUAGCUGUUGGGACCCGAAAGAUGGUGAACUAUGCCUGAAUAGGGUGAAGCCAGAGGAAACUCUGGUGGAGGCUCGCAGCGGUUCUGACGUGCAAAUCGAUCGUCAAAUUUGGGUAUAGGG
This 766-nucleotide ribosomal RNA is filed under the name Fonsecaea pedrosoi. RNAcentral's name for it is "eukaryotic LSU rRNA". It matches the Rfam family "Eukaryotic large subunit ribosomal RNA", at positions 137 to 922 of the family's 3401-position model. Lineage: Eukaryota; Fungi; Ascomycota; Eurotiomycetes; Chaetothyriales; Herpotrichiellaceae. The record is from RNAcentral. RNAcentral also lists the same sequence under 1 other name.